RNAcentral lists this long non-coding RNA (38698 nucleotides) under Sarcophilus harrisii (Tasmanian devil). Its description in RNAcentral is "lncRNA (ENSSHAG00000030664.1)". The record is from RNAcentral. Lineage: Eukaryota; Metazoa; Chordata; Mammalia; Dasyuromorphia; Dasyuridae.
UCUGCAGUCUGUAGGUGGCUCGUCUGCAGUCGCAGUCGCAGCUCCAGCUCGAACCUCGCGACGGCCGGUCUUCGCGCGGCCUCGGCUCCGGCCCCGGCCUCAGCCUCCCGGCGCGGCUCGCAGCGGCGGCGGCGGCGGCUCCCGCUCGACGGCCCCGGGCCGCCCCAGCACCCCGGACAGCGGCGCCUCCUGCCGGGACCCGGCCGUCUCCCCCCAUCCCCGCCGGGCUCGCGGCCCGCUGCCCUGAGGGCCCCAGCACUGUGCAAUGGAAAGAAUGUGGACGGGGCUGUCUCACCUGAUCCUCACAACCACCCUGGGAGGUUUAACUGUUAGUAAUAUACAAAAGGUGGAUGAUUUUUGUGGAUUCAUUUCAUAUUCUACUUUGAUGCUGAUUAAGUAAGCCAUCAUGUCAUCUGCAAAUAGGGCCACGUCCAUCAGACUUGAUCAUCAUAUAGUGUUGUUGUUGAAGUAUAUAAUGAUCUCCUGGUUCUGCUCAUUUCAAGAAAACUUUAUUGAGAGUUUCUAAGUGGCAGGCAAUGUGCCGGCAACUCUGAGCACUCAGUGUAUCUCCAGGGUAAAUGGAAGAGAAUCUUGAGAGGCAGAUGGUGACAUUGGAGCUAGGACUGGAAACAAGCCAGGUAAGCUGGGACACUGACAUCGGUGUCCAAGACUAAGCCAGGUUGACAGUCACAGAAAAUGUCAUCUGAGAAUGGCGUAGCUUCGAGAGGAACACCAAGGGAGGUUGGCCCCGGGUGGAGCAGACAGAGCGUGGAGCAAGGUCACUUGGCAGCAGUUGGAAAGGCUGACUUCAGAAAAGCCUGGAGAGACUUACAUGAAUUGAUGCUGAGUGAAGUGAGCAGAACCAGGAGAACAUCGUACACGGUAACAGCAAGACUGUGUGACAAUCAACCUCGGCGGAAUUGGCUCUUCUCAGAAGUGUGGUGAUCCAAGACAAUUCCAGUUUACUUGGGAUGGAAAAGGCCACCUUGGGGACUGAAUUUGGAUCAAAGCAUACUAUGUAAUUGUUUUUUUCUCAUGGUUUCCCUUUUGAUUUUUCUUUCACAACAUGGAAACAUGUUUAGAAUGAUUGUACAUGUAUAACCUAUGUUAGAUUGCUUGCUAUCUUGGAGAGGGAGAAAAGUUUUUGUAACUCAAAAUCUUAAAGAAGUGAAUGUUGAAAACUAUCUUAACAUGUAAUUGGAAAAUAAAAUACUGUUAAGUAAAAAAAAGUGAGAGUGAGACUAGAUGAGAAUUCAGUAUAAAUUCCUGAAACUUAACUAAAAAUAUCAUUGGCAACAGAAAGUAAAAAAACUGGGAGAGCAAAUAGGAGUUUGAGAGAGAGUAAAAGAAAUUGAGAAAUGCAGGGGAAAGAGAAACAAUGGAAUAGAGAGAAAAUAAGAUGGAGGAGUAUAGAAGAGACAAAGUGAAAGACAAGUAGGGAAUGAGCAAAAGAUUAACAGUAGAAGUAGAGAAAGAAUGAGAGAGACAAACAAAAGCGGAGUGGGGGGAGAGAGAGUAAGAAGUAGUGAGAAAAAGAGGGAGAAUGGGAGGACAAGACAGAAAGAGAGAUGGAGAUAGGGAAUGAGAAAAAGAAUGAGAGGAUGACAAAGAGAAAGAAAACUUAGGAAAACAGUGAUUUUUUUUUAAAAAAAAAAGGACAGAAUGUGAGAGAGCCAUAGAAAUAACAGGAGAGGAAAAAGGAGGAGAGACAGAGAAAGCCCAAAACAGAAUGAAAUAGAAAAUGAGAGUGAUACAGAGAGAGUGAGAAAUGGGAAGAAAAUUAGAGGGAAAGAAAAAUAGUAGAAUAGAGAAAAAAGGGAGAUAGAACAAGAGAAAUAAAAAGAAAGACAGACACAGUGAAAGAGAAUAAAAGAUUGGAGAGGGAAAAGGGGAAAGAGUGGGAUAGGAGAGUGUGUGAGAUUGGAUUAUUAGCUUACAAUUUCUCAAUCCUUACAAAUGAGUGAGUCAAAGAGCAAAUUUUAGGAUGGAUAAUUUCAUUAAAGAUAAUGACAACAAUGAGCCAACAUAUGUGAACUGAUCCAGCCAUUCUUGAAAACAAUUGAGAACUUUGCCCAAAGGGCUAUCAAACUGUGCAUACCCUUUGAUCCAGCAGAGUCACUACUAGAUUUGUAUCCCAAAGAAAUCAUAAAAGAGGGGAUGGGACCCCCGUGUGCAAAAACAGCACCUUUUUCUGUGGUGGCAAAGAAAUGGAAAAUGAGGGGAUGCCCAUUGGUUGGAGAAUGGCUGAAUAAGUGAAUAAGAUAUAUGAUUGUAAUGGAAUAUUAUUGUUCUAUAAAAAAUGAUGAUUUCGGGGAGACUUACCUGAACUGAUGCUGAGUGAAGUAAGCUGAACCAGGACAAUAUUGUACACAGCAACAAGAUUAUGUGAUGAUCAACUAUGAUUGAUUUAGCUCUUCUAAGCAAUGCACUGAUCCAAGACAAUUGUGAAUUCAGAGAGAAUUAUGGAGACUGAAUGUAGAUAGAAGCAUAUUAUUUUCAUCUUUUUCCUUUUUCUUUCUCAUGGUUUUCCCCUUUCAUUCUGAUUUUUCUUUCAUAACAUGACUACUAUGUUUAAAAUGAUUAUACAUGUAUAAAUUAUAUCACAUUGCUUGCUGUCCUGGGGAGGAUAAACGGGAAGGAGAAAAAUAUUUGGAAUGAGACAAUGUACCAAAAUUUAUGUGAAACAGCCAAAAUAGUACCAAAUGGAAAAUUUAUGUUUCUAAAUACUUACAUCAAUAAAAUAGAGAAAGAGAUGGAUGAAAUGCAUAUGCAACUAAAAACUAGCAAAAAAUUAAAAAUCCUGAAAAUCAAAGGAAAGAUUAGUAAAAAUUGAAAACAAUAAAAGCACUUAACUAAUAAAACUAAGAGAUGUAUUCAUGGAAAAAAAACCCAACAAAAUAGAGAAAACAUUGGUUAGUUUGAAUUUUAAAAAGAAGAAAAUCAAAUUACCAGUAUCAAAAAUGAAAAGGGUGAAUUCACCACCACUGAAGAUGAAAUUAAAGCAAUUAUUAGGAGCUAUUUUGCCCAAUUAUAUCAACAAAUCUAACCAUCUAAAUGAUUUUUCUCUCUUUCUCAUCUUUUUCAAGAAUGAAAGAGAAAAAUUGCGAGAAAUAAAUGAGAUUGGAAGAAAUAUGAAAGUGAGAAACAAUAAGGGAGUGAGAGAGAAUGAGAAAAAGAAAAAAGGUGUAUUCUUGAAAGAAGAAAGAAUGGGACAGUGAGGCAAAAAUAAGAGAAAAAAGAAUGGGAGAGAAAAGCAAAGUAAAAAAGAGUGGGAGACAGAGCCAGGGAAAGAGAGAAAGAAAAAUGGAGAGUGAGAGAAAAGAAAAAUAGACAAAGCUUUGGAGACAGGGAAGGGAGCAAAAGAGACAGAAAAAGUGAAGAAAACAGGGAGCAUAAAAUAAAGAGAUAAGGGCAGAGUGAGGAAAAGGGAAAGCAUGAGUCAAAGUGUGGCAGAAAGAAAGAAAAAGAGAUGUUGGUGAAAGAGAAAUUCUGUGAGUGGAAUACAGAGAAAAAAGGAGAGAGGAAGAGAAAGAAGCAGAGAGCAUGAGUGGGAAAAACAAUUAGAAAUUCUCUUAUUUUUAUGCCAACAAAACUGAAGAUAAAAUGAAAUGGGUGAAUAUUUAUAAAAGUAUAAAAUGGAGGAAAUAACAAAUAUAAACAAUCUUAUCUCAGAGAAUCUGAGUAAAUCAUAAAUGAAAUCCAAGGAAAAAUUCCUAGUUUAAUUAUGAAUUAUAUCACACAUUUAAAGAACAGUUAAUCAUUCUGCUAUGUAAGCUGUUCACAAAGUAAUAGAGCAAGAUGCCACCUUUACCAAAUUCCUUCUAUGAGAAAAAUAUGGUCCUGACAAACUAAAUUAGGGAUAAAGCUAAUAAAGAAAAAUACACACCAAUAUCACUAAUUAUUUAGUUAACCAAGCAGGUAUAAUAUAUUAAAAAUUAUUCACUAUGAUCAAUUUAGAUUUAUACCAGAAGUAUAAGGUUGGCUCAGAAAUGCCAUAUAUUUGAAAAACUACGCAUUUAUAACACAUCAUAUUAAUAAAUCACAUAAUCAUUUCAGUUCGGAGGGGAAAAAAAGCCUCGGGGAAAAUAUACUUUUAUUUCUGAUAUCCAGUGAGAAUAUUAAUUAUGUUUUUUUAAUAUCUGUAAAAUCAGGAACUAGUUUUUAUUUGUAACAGAAUAACACCAUAGUCUUUCCCAGUAAGAUAAUACAAGAUUCCUCACUGUCUCUGUUAUUAUUUGAAUACCUUUCUAGAAAUGCUCCUAUAGCACUGACAAUGAAAAGUAGCUCAGGGAGAACAAAUCCAUCAAGGGAGAAGAAUAUCCCUUCUAUUGGCAGAUAAUAUGAUGUUUACUUUAAGAAUUAUGGGGUUUCAGAAAAAACACUCAUCAAAAUGACAGCCCCAGUAAAGUUGUAAGAUAUAAAAUGAAACUACAAGUUGUCACCUUUUGUCUACAUCACUUACAAUCCAAGAGGAAGAGAUGGACAGAAAAACUCUACUAAAUCCUCUGUGAUGCAUUAAAAAAUGGAUUUAAGAGACUGAGACACGGUUAAGAGUGAUCUAAACUCUGCCAUAAAGCACUGCUGAGUGUUUUAUGAGUAAAGUACAUUGGAGAGAGAUUCAUUACUCAUGGUUGGAGCGUGUCAAAAUGUUUUAAAAAAUUGUGAUGACAUUUAAAUUAAUUCAUAAAUUGAGUUUUUUUUUCAAGCAAUAUAUUACCAAGGCGUUCCUGUAUAGGACCAUAUAAGUCAUAAUGAAAGUUCAUUAAUUUCAAGGGAAAUAGUGGGAAAAAAUAAUAAUGAAGGGAGCUUAGCAUUAUCAAAUCUCAGAUGAUAGUAUGAAGCAGUAAUCAUCUAUUUGAAUGGUUUAUAUGGUUUAAGAAAAGGACUAGAGAAAUGGGACUUAGGAGUAAAGGAUACAGUCGUUCAGUGUUUUAUAAACCCAAAGAUAUUGAUAUCAUGGAUAUGGUAGAUAGAAGAGUUCUUGGGAAAUCACAUUGGACUAGCAUUUUAUACCACGUAAUCGUCAUAAGCCUGAAAUGGAUGUAUGACAGUAAUAUAAAAGGUCAUAGCACCAAAAAUUAAGAGUAAAGGUUCCAUAUAUACCAAAAUAUUCCUAAUUUUUUUUCCUUAACAGAAAAUUCUCCAAAUAAAAUUAGUCCUUGUCUCUUAGGAAACGGAUAAACAAAAUGUGAUAUGAAUGUAGUACGAUAUUAUUUAAUGUAAAAAAAAUGACUAUAAAAUUCAGAAACUUGGGCAGACUUGUAUGAACCUUGGGAACAUUAAUGAUAGUAAUUAUAAUUUCAAUAGUACUUUAAAGUUUACAGAAUUCUUUGGAAAUGUGAUCUCACUUUAUCCUCACAACUCUAAAAAGUUUGAAUAGUUAUCAAAAUAGAAAAUGCCCAGAUUCACAGAACAAGAAGUAAAGGGCUGAAAUAACAGUUCAUAAAAAGAAAUGAAACAAGCCAUAAAUGACUUCCAAAAAGGGAGAGAGGACCUUAGACUUUAUAAGUAAAUUUGAUUAUUCAGAAAAAAGAGUCCAUGGUGUUGUUAACCUAAACCAAGAAAAGUAAAAACAGAAAGAAAACUAUGGAUCAAUAUCCCUAAUGAACACGGAUGCAAAACAAGGUGGAAAUGAAGGGAAAAGACCUUAUGUAUAAAAAAGUAUUUAUAGCAGUUCUCUUUGUGGUGACAGAACCAACAAAAUGGAAACUAAGGGCGUGAGAAUGAUUUGGAGAAUGGGUAAACAAACAAUGCUAUUUGAAUGUGCUGUUAUUCAGCCAUUUUUCUGUCAUGUCGGAUUCUCUGUGACCCAGUUUGGGGUUUUCUUGGCAAAGAUACUGAUUGGCCAUUUCCUUCUCCAGCUCAUUUUACAGAUGAGGAAAUUGAGGCAAACAGGGUGAAGUGACUUGCCCAGGCUCACACAGUUAGUGUCUGAGGCUGGGUUUGACCUCAGGUUUACUUGACUCCAGUCCUGGCAUUCUAUCCAUUGCACAAUCUAAGGUGCCUUAUAUGAACACAGUGGAAUAUUACUGUGCAAGAAGAGAUGGCAAAGGGGAUACAUAGGGAAGAUGUGUAUGAACUGAUGCAGAGUGAAGUGAGCAAACCAGUAGAACCAUUUAUACAGUAAUAAUAAUUUUGUAAAGACAAAUUUGAAAGUCUUAAGAAAUUUGAUUAUUACAGUGAAUUACGAUACCAGUAGAACUAUGAUGAAACCUUCUGUCCAUUUUAUGACAGAGAGGUGAUACCUCAAAUUUUGUUUUGUUCAGUUAUGUCUUUAUUGCAAGAAUUUUGCUCUUUCCCCCCCAAAUAGGGUGGGAGAGGAGUAAAGUGGGGAAGAGAGAAAAUAGAUUUAUUUAACUGAAAAAGAACUAAACUUGAUUUUUAAAAAAGGAAACAGUAGGGAAGAUGGAUUGGUUAGGGGGAAAACUCAAAGGAAGACAACCAGUUUGGAGAUUGUUGCAGUAGCGUCUGCCAAAAGAAAGGAGGACCUGAAGAAGGGUGGUUAUAUCAGCACUGGAGGGAAAAGUGGGAGAGAUCUUUUCAAGGUUGAGAGCUUGGUAAUUAAUUGGAUAUGGGGCAGGGCUUAUCAGGAAUGGGUAAGAGUUCAGGUUCUGAGCUUACAAACCCGAGUGACUGUGAAGAUGGUGGUAGUGCUAUGAACAGAAAUCAAAGCCUUAUGGGAAAGCACAGGUUUGGGGAAAGAGGGAAGAUGUUCAAUUUGUGGUGCUGGCCGUAAGGAGCUCUGGGGAAAGAUCAUGGAUGGCUAUGCGGAUGUGAGUGUCAGUACUUAAACUGAAAAGAUGAGCAAAGUAGUUCCCCGAGGGAGAGAAUGGAGGAAGACUUAAGAGGAAAGUCCAGGAGAGAACCUUGCUGCAUAUCUCUAGUUUUAUAAUGGAAGGAGAAUAGAAAGUCAGCACAAGAAAGAAAUGGUCAGAGAGGGAGAAGGAACAUGGAGUACGGGGUAUCACCAGGGAAGAGAUGUUGGUGACUGAGGCCAAUAUACACACCGGCUACUUAUGGCCCAAGAAGGUCAAAGACAAAAAAGAAAAGCUCUGUAUAUCUCUGUAUAUAUAAUACUUGUCUUAUAUAUACUCUCUCUAUUCCCAAUAGCACUUCUGGUAGGACAAAAACUAGAAAUGAAGUGGAUGCCUAGUGGUAGGUGACAAAUUGCUGUCUAAAUUGUGGCAGGUAAAUGGGAGAGGUAUGAAUUAUGGCCCCAAAAUAAGAAGCAGGAGGAAUUCCAAGCAACACAAUCCAGGGCACAUUAGUGCGUGCUAGGGAUACAAAAGCAGAUGAGAUAGUCCUUACCUCCAAGUUAUCUGGAUUCUGUUGAGGAGCUGCAUAUAACCUGUACACAUUCACCAUGACAAUCUAGACUCAAAAUCAAUCCAGGGACUAAGGACUGGGGAAAUCAUCAGGGGAGAGAUCUCUUGAAGGAGAAGGCAUUUGACCUGAACCUUAAAGGGAAGGAAAAGUCCCAAUUACUAGAGGUGAUUCCAGACAUGGGGUGACUUUCACUGUACAGAAGAAUGAAGGUGGAAGGGAGAGGGUCCAGUAAAUCAGCUUGGUUGUAGUGGAGAAUGCUGUGGGAGGAGCAAGAUACAGUCAGUUUGUAGUGUUCCUGACAAUUUUGCAAUUUAUCCCAAAGGCAAUAGCAUCCACCAGGGUUUCUGUACGGAGAUUAGUCCUGUCCUUACUAAUCCAGAUCCCUGCCUCAUAGUUGCCUGACCCCUUCUACAUUUAAGGAAUCAGCAUGGGAUAGUUGAAAGCUUGAACUAGGGUGUCUGUGGUGUGCAUGGAGGGAAGGGGUGGUGGUGGGGGUGACAUUGAUGAAAUUUAAAGUAAUUGGAUAUGAGGAGUGAGUGAACUGAGUGAAGGGCCAAGGAAGACUCCUAGCUUGGAAACCCGGAAAUGAGAAAAUGCUGAAGAUGGCUUGUAAAUUGCCAAACAUGGGAAGACUUGUUGGAACUGAGAAGAAGUGAAGAAAGUUGAACAGAAGAACAUACCCGAUGACUACAAUAAUGUCAACAAAAGCCAGCACUAAAGGACAUUAGAACAUGGAGGAGAUCCGGCACCAGAGGAUGGAACCCAGGACAUCUCAAAGCAGAAAUGGAGACUUCAGAAUUUACCAAGACUGGAAAAAUCAUCAAAUAUGGAAACCUGGUUUCUUCAAUCUACAGAAGAGCUCCAAGAUCUGCAGCCAGGGAAUGGACACCAGCAUGAGAACAUAAGUCCCAGAAAACACCUUUUGUAGCUCCGUGGGCCUGUGGUCGCCAUUAUCAUCAUCAUUGUCGACAUUAUUGUUGUCCUCGUCGUCGUCCUCAUCCUCGUCGUCACUGCUCCAUGCUGUCUGGACCAGAGUGAUCCUUCUUUGUAAUCCAAAGUCAAAUCUACAGAGAAAGCAUGGCCCAUGGUCACAAAGGGACAUUGCUGCUGCUGCUCAACACUGCCAGUGCCAUUAGAAUUCUAAAUUACUUGAGAAUGCCUCAUGGAUUUGGGCAAGUUCUCUUUCGUUUUCCAGUCUAUGAACUCCCCAGAGAUUCAAUCCAGUUGUUCUGGGUUUCCAUUUUCCCUAAAGUGAAGCCUUUACAUCUCGGAAAACUUUGACAGAAAGCUAAGAGCAAGACUCAAGAAUAGAACCCAGCAUUCCUAGCUAUUGCAUCCAGUGUUCAAUCAUAUUAACAAUUUCUUGAAAGAAACACUACUAAAUUAUGAUCAUGGCUGGCCAGCUCAGACAUAUUCUUCAAGUGUAAUUGAUAAAGAAUACUCAGGUGAAUUUGUGGAAGUAGAUCACUGCUUCCUCCUAAUCUUCCCUAGUGCUCCUCUUUUGGGGAACUGUUUUAAUUUGUUUCAGGAGUGGAAGUUCUUGCACCCCCUAAAAAACCCCAAGAUGGUGGAACAGAGAGAACAUUCCAGUGGAACUCUACCAACUUGCCUUUCCAAAAAACUUGAAAAUAUCAAAUAAUCAAAUUCUGAAGUGCCAUACAAAGAAAAAGUUUGUCCAGCUGAAAAAAAUGUUUGAGGUGAGGAGAAGUUUGGGUCACUGGCUCAGAAGGCAAAGGGAAGGGCACUUACUAUGGAUCUUGGAGGACGGGAGGCACAGUGAUAGCUGCAGGAAUAGUUGUCACAUUUCUUAAAGUUUUCACUGCCAAGAAACCAAGUAUUAGACAACUGCUAAAAAGGUGAUUAGGGGCAGCUCUGUGUGGGCACGGUAGACAUUACCAGUUUCACACAAAGGGGGAGAGAGGCCAAUGCCAUCACAAAAAACUGGUGGUAACACCUGGAGCUCCAGAGUGAAGACGAUCACUUGUUAUCACAAGUAAACACAUUCCCUGCUACUGCUCCAGGGUGAAGAGGAGCACCUGCCAGCAUGAUGACAAGGAAGAGGAAGUCCCCCCUGCAGCUACUAGGUGAAGAGACCUUGCUAUAACAAAAAAAGCAAUAGUCCCAGCUGCAUCUCAGGGGUGCAUAGAGGCCUUUCCCAUUACAACAAAGCAGAGGUAUCGGCUGCAGUUCCAGUUUGAAGAAGACCACUUUCCCAUCACAAGUAACCAGAAGUCCCAGCUGUGGGUCCAGGGUGAGGAAGAGCACUUGUCAUCACAAUUAAUCAGAAGUCCCUGCUGCUGCUCCAGGGUGAAGAACAACAGUUGCCACCACAAGUUACCAGAAGUCCCUGAUGCUGCUCCAGGGUGAAGAGGAGCACUUGCCAUCACAAGUAACUAGAAUUCCCUGUAACAAGCUCCAGGGUGAAGAGGAGCACUUGCCAUCACAAGCAAGUAGUGGUCCCAGCUGCAGCCAUGGGACGGAGAGAGGGCUUUGGCAUCACAACAAACCAGAGGUCCCAGUUGCAGCUCCAGUUAGAAGAAAAACACUUUGCAUCACAAGUCACCAGAAUUCCCAGCUGCGGGUCCAGGGUGAAGAAAAGAACUUGCCAUCACAAGUAGCCAGAAGUCCCUGCUGCUGCUCCAGGGGGAAGAGGAGAACUUGCCAUCAAAAUGAAGCAGAGGUCCCAGCUGCAGCUCUGGGGUGGAGAGAGGCCUUUGUCAUCACAACCAAGCAGAGGUCCCAGCUGCAGUUUGCAUUUGAAGAACACUUCCCAUCAUCACAAGAAACCAGAAGUCCCUGCUGCUACUCCAGGGUGAAGAAGAACAAUUGCCAUUACAAGUUACUAGAAGUACCUGCUGCAGCUCCAGGGAGAAGAGGAAGACUUGCCAUCACAAGUAACCAGAAGGCCCAGCUGCAGCUACUGGGUGAAGACCAAUUGCCAUCACAAAAAUGGAAAGAACGCAGCUGAAGCUCCAGGGUAGAGAGAGGCCUUUGCCAUCAAACCCAUGUAGAGGUCUCAGUUACAGCUCCAGGAUACAGAGAGGCCUUUGCCAUCACAACCAAGCAGAGGUACCAGCUGCAGAUCCAGGAUGGAGAGAGGCCUUUGCCAUCACAACCUAGCAGAGUUCUAAGCUGCAGCUCCCGUUGGAAGAAGAAAACUUGCCAUAACAAAUAACGGGAAAUCCCAGCUGCAGGUCCAGUGUGACGAAAAGAAAUUGCCAUCACAAGUUACCAAAAGUCCCUGCUGCUGCUCCACAGUGAAGCGGAAAACUGGCCACCACAAGUAACCAGAAGUCCCUGCUGCAGCUCCAGGGUGAAGAGCAACACUUGCCAUCACAAGUUACCAGAAGUCCUUGAUGCUGCUCCAGGGUGAAGAACAGCAGUUGCCAUCACAAGUUACAAGAAGUCCCUGCUGCUGCUCUAGGGUGAAGAUGAACACUUGCCAUCACAAGUUACCAGAAGUCCCUGCUUCUGCUCCACAAUGAAGAGGAACACUUGCCAUCACAAGUUAGCAGAAAUCUUUCCUGCAGCUACUGGUUGAAGAAGACCAAUUGCCCUAAGAAAAAUGCAGAGGACGCAGCUGCAGCUUAGGGAUGCAGAGAGGCCUUUGCCAUCACAACUAAGCAGAUGUGCAAGCUGCAACUCCCGUUUGAAGAGGAACACUUCCUAUCACCAAUAACUGGAAGUCCCAGGGCAAGGUCCAGUGUGAUGAAAAGAACUUGCUAACACAAGUAACCAGAAGUCCCUGCUGCUGCUCCAGGGUGAAGAGGAACACUUGUCAUCACAAGUAACCAGAAGUCACUGCUGUUGUCCAAGGGUGAAGACGAACACUUGCCAACACAAGUUAACAGAAGUCCCUGCUGCGGCUCCAGGGUGAACAGGACCACUUGCCAUCAAAAGUUACCAGAAGUCCCUGCUGCAGCUCCUUGGUGAAGAGGACCACUUGCCAUCACAAGUUACCAGAAGUCCCUGCUGCAGCUACAGGGUGAACAGGACCACUUGCCAUCAAAAGUUACCAGAAGUCCCUCCUGCAGUUCCAGGGUGAAGAGGAACACUUGCCAUCACAAGUUACCAGAAGUCCUUGAUGCUGCUCCAGGGUGAAGAACAACAGUUGCCAUCACAAGUUACAAGAAGUCCCUGCUGCUUAUCCAGAGUGAAGAUGAACACUUGCCAUCACAAGUUACCAGAAGUCCCGGCAGCAGCUGCAGGGUGAAGAGGAUCACUUGCCAUCAAAAGUUACCAGAAAUCUUUCCUGCAGCUACUGGGUGAAGAAGACCAAUUGCCCUAAGAAAAAUGCAGAGGACUCAGCUGCAGCUUAGGGAUGGAGAGAGGCCUUUACCAUCACAACUAAGCAGAUGUGCAAGCUGCAACUCCCGUUUGAAGAAGAACACUUCGUAUCACCAAUAACUGGAAGUCCCAGCGGCAGGUCCAGUGUGAUGAAAAGAACUUGCCACCACAAGUAACCAGAAGUCCCUGCUGCUGCUCCAGGGUGAAGAGGAACACUUGUCAGCACAACUUACCAGAAAUCCUUGCUGUAGCUCCAGGGUGAAGAAGACCACGUGUGACCACAAGUACCCAGAAGUCCCUGCUGCUGUUCUAGGGUGACGAGGAACACUUAUGACGCCAAGUAACCAGAAGUCCCUGCUGCUGCUCCAGGGUGAAAGGGAACACUUGCCAGCACAACUUACCAGAAGUCCCUGCUGCAGCUCCAGGGUAUAGAGGAACACUUGCCAGGUCAACUUACCAGAAGUCCCUGCUGCUGCUCCAGGGUGAAGAGGAACACUUGCCAGCAUAACUUACCAGAAGUCCCUGCUGCUGCUCCAGGGUGAAGAGGAAUACUUGCCAGCACAACUUACCAGAAGUCCCUUCUGCAGUUCCAGGGUGAAGAGGAACACUUGCCAUCACAAGUUACAAGAAGUCCCUGCUGCUUAUCCAGAGUGAAGAUGAACAUUUGCCAUCACAAGUUACCAGAAGUCCCUGCUGCAGCUCCCGGGUGAAGAGGACCACUUGCCAUCAAAAGUUACCAGAAAUCUGUCCUGCAGCUACUGGGAGAAGAAGACCAGUUGCCCUAAGAAAAAUGCAGAGGAUGCAGCUGCAGCUUAGGGUGUAGAGAGGCCUUUGCCAUCACAACAAAGAAACUGUCUCAGCUGCAGCUCCACGAUGGAGAGAGGCCUUUGCAAUCACAACUACACAGAUGUCCCAGCUGCAGCUUAUGGGUGGAGGGAGGCCUUUGCCAUCACAACUAAGCAGAGGUCUAAGCUGCAGCGCCCAUUUGAAGAAUAACACUUCCUAUCACCAACAACUGUAAGUCACAGUUGCAGGUCCAGUGUGACGAAAAGAACUUUCCACCACAAGUAACCAGAAGUCCCUGCUGCUGCUCCACAGUGAAGAGGAAGACUUGCCAUCACAAGUUAACAGAAGUCCCUGCUGCAGCUCCAGGGUGAAGAGUAACACUUGCCAUCACAAGUUAACAGAAGUCCUUGAUGCUGCUCCAGGGUGAAGAGUAACACUUGCCAUCACAAGUUAACAGAAGUCCUUGAUGCUGCUCCAGGGUGAAGAACAACAGUUGCCAUCACAAGUUAUAAGAAGUCCCUGCUGCUGCUCCAGGGUGAAGAUGAACACUUGCCAUCACAAGUUACCAGAAGUCCCUGCUACAGCUCCAGGGUGAAGAGGAACACUUGCCAUCACAAGUUACCAGAAGUCCCUGCAGCAGCUCCAGGGUGAAGAGGACCACUUGCCAUCACAAGUUACCAGAAGUCCCUGCUGCAGCUACAGGGUGAACAGGACCACUUGCCAUCAAAAGUUACCAGAAAUCUUUCCUGUAGCUACUGGGUGAAGAAGACCAAUUUCCCUAAGAAAAAUGCAGAGGACGCAGCUGCAGCUUAGGGGUGGAGAGAGGUCUUUGCUAUCAAAACAAAGUAGAGGUCUCAUUUAUCGCUCCAGGAGAGAAUGAGCCCUUUGCCAUCAGAACUACGCAGAUGGCCCAAGUGUAGCUUAGAAGUGGAGAGACCCCUUGGCCAUCACAACUAAACAGAGGUCCAAGCUGCAGCAACCGUUUGAAGAAGAACACUUCCUAUCACCAAUAACUUGAUGUCCCAGCUGCAGGUCCAUUGUGACAAAAAGAACUUGCCACCACUAGUAACCAGAAGUCCCUACUACAGCUCCAGGGUGAAGAGGAACAGUUGCCAGCACAACUUACCAGAAGUCCCUGCUACAGCUCCAGGGUGAAGAGGAACACUUGCCAGCACAACUUACCAGAAAGUUGUAGCUCCUUGCUGUAGCUCCAGGGUGAAGAAGACCACGUGUGACCACAAGUACCCAGAAGUGCCUGCUGCUGCUCUGGGGUGACAAGGAACACUUAUGACCCCAAGUAACCAGAAGUCCCUGCUGCCGCUACAGGGUGAAGAGAAACACUUGUCAUCACAAGUAACCAGAAAUCCCUGCUGCUGCCCUAGGCUGAAAAGGAACACUUGCCAACACAACUUACCAGAAGUCCCUGCUGCUGCUCCAGGGUGAAGAGGAAUACUUGCCAGCACAACUUACCAGAAGUCCCUGCUGCUGCUCCAGGGUGAAGAGGAACACUUGUGACCCCAAGUAACCAGAAGUCCCUACUGCCGCUGCUGGGUGAAGAGAAAAACUUGUCAUCACAAGUAAGCAGAAGUCCCUGCUGGAGCUCCAGGGUGAAGAGGACCACUUGCCAUGGAAUGUUAGCAGAAAUCGUUCCUGUAACUACUGGGUGAAGAAGACCAAUUGCCCUAAAAAAAAUGCAUAGGACACAGCUGCAGCUUAGGGUUGAGAGAGGCCUUUGCCAUCACAACUACAUAGAAGUGCCAGCUGCAGCUUAUGGGUGGAAGUAGGCCAUUCCCAUCACAACUAAGCGGAGGUCCAAGCUGUAGCUCCCGUUUGAGGAACACUUCCUAUCUCCAAUAACUGGACGUCCCACCUGUAGGUCCAGUGUGACGAAAAGAAUUUGCCACCACAAGUACCCAGAAUCCCUGCUGCUGCUCAAGGGUGAAGAACAACUGUUGCCAUCACAAGUUACCCUGAAGUCCCUGCUGCCGCUCCAGGGUGAAGAGGAACACUAGUCAACACAAGUAGCCAGAAAUCCCUGCUGCUGCUCCAGGGUGAAGAGAAACACUUUUCAUCACAAGUAACCAGCAAUCCCUGCUGCUGCUCCAGGUUGAAGAGGAACACUUGCCAGCACAACUUAACAGAAGUCCCUACUGCCGCUCCAGGGUGAAGAGGAACACUUGCCAUCACAACUUGCCAGAAGUCCCUUCUGCAUCUCCAGGGUGAAGAGGAACACUUCCCAUCACAAGUUAUUAUAAGUCCCUGUUGCAGCUCCAGGGUGAAGAGGAACACUUGCCAUCACAUGUUGUCAGAAGUCCCUUCUUAAGCUCCAGGGUGAAGAGGAAUAAUUGCGAACAUAAGUACCCCUAAUUCCUGCUGCUGCUCGAGGGCGAAGAACAACUGUUGCCAUCAGAUGUUGCCUGAAGUCCCUGCUGCCGCUCCAGGGUGAAGAGGAACACUUCUGACCACAAGUAACCAAAAGUCCCUGCUGCAGCUCUAGGGUGAAGAAGAACAUUUCUGACCACAAGUAACCAAAAGUCCCUGCUGCAGCUCCAGGGUGAAGAGGAACACUUGCCAUCACAAGUAACGAGAAAUCCCUGCUGCUGCUCCAGGGUGAAGAACAACAGUUGCCAUCACAUGUUGCCAGAAGUCCCUGCUGUUGGUCCAGGUUGACGACGAACACUUUUGAUCACAAGUAACCAGAAGUCCCUGCUGUAGUUCCAGGGUGAAGAGGAACACUUGUGAACAGAAGUACCCAGAAGUCCCUGCUGCUGCUCCAGGGUGAAGACGAACAAUUGUCAUCACAAGUAACCAGAAGUCCCUGCUGCGGCUCCAGGGGGAAGAGGACCACGUGCCAUGAAAUGUUACCAGAAAUCUUUCCUGAAGCUACUGGGUGAAGAAGACCAAAUUCCCUAAGAAAAAUGCAGAAGACACAGCUGCAGCUUAGGGGUGGAGAGAGGCCUUUGAUAUCACAACAAAUCAAAGGUCUCAGUUGCAGCUCUGGGUUGGACUGAGGUCUUUGCUAUCACAACCUAGCAGAGGUCUCAUUUACUGCUCCAGGAUAGAACGAGGCCUUUGCCAUCACAACUACGCAGACGUCCCAACUGCAGCUUAGGGGUGGAGAGAGGCCUUUGCCAUCCCAACCAAGUAAAGGUCCAAGCUGCAGCUCCCCUUUGAAGAAGAACACUUCCUAUCACCAAUAACUAGACGUCCCAGCUGCAUGUCCAGUGUGAGAAAAAGAACUUGCCAACACAAGUAACCAGAAAUCCCUGGUGCUGCUCCAGGGUGAAGAACAACAGUUGCCAUCACAACUUGCCGAAGUCCCUGCUGCUGCUCGAGGGUGAAGACAAACACUUGUCAUCACAAGUAACCAGAGUUCCCUGCUGCAGCUCCAGGGUGAAGACGAACAGUUGUCAUCACAAGUACCCAGAAGUCCCUGCUGCUGCUCCAGGGUGACGAACAAUAGUUGCCAUUAAAAGUUGCCUGAAGUCCCUGCAGCUUUUCCAAGGUGAAGAGGAACUCUUGCCAUCACAAGUUACCAGAAGUCCCGGCUGCUGCUCCAAGGUGAAGAGGACCACGUGCCCUGAAAUCUUUUCUGAAACUACUGGGUGAUGAAGAUUAAAUUCCCUAAGAAAAAUGCAGAAGACACAUCUGCAGCUUACGGGUGGAGAGAGGCCUUUGAUAGCACAACAAAUCAGAGGUCGCAGUUGCACCUCUGGGUUGGACAGAGGUCUUUGCUAUCACAACCUAGCAGAGGUCUCAUUUACCGCUCCAGGAUAGAACGAGGCCUUUGCCAUCACAACUACGCAGACUUCCCAACUCCAGCUUAGGGGUGGAGAGAGGUCUUUGCCAUCACAACUAAGCAGAGGUCCAAGCUGCACCUCCUGUUUGAAGAACACUUCCUAUCACCAAUAACUAAAUGUCCCAGCUGCAGGUCCAGUGUGAAGAAAAGAACUUGCCUCCACAAGUAACAAGAAGUCCCUCCUGCUGCUCCAGGGUGAAAAACAAUAUUUGCCAUCACAAGUUGCCAGAAGUCCCUGCUGCUGCUUCAGGGUGAAGAGGAACACUUGUGACCACAAGUACCCAGAAAUCCCUGCUGCUACUCCAUGGUGAAGAACAACAGUUGCCAUCACAAGUAAUCAGAAGUCCCUGCUGUACCUCCAGGGUGAAGAGGAACACUUGUGAUCACAAGUAACCAAAAGUCCCUCCUGCAGCUCCAAGGUGAAGAGGAACAACUUGCCAUCAAAAGUUACCAGAAGGCCCUGCUGUAGCUCCAGGGUGAAGAGGAAAAGUUGUGACCACAAGUACCCAGAGGUCCCUGCUGCUGCUCCAGGGUGAAGAGGAACACUUGUGACCCCAAGUAACCAGAAGUCCCUGCUGCCGCUACAGGGUGAAGAGAAACACUUGUCAUCACAAGUAACCAGAAAUCCCUGCUGCUGCCCUAGGUUGAAAAGGAACACUUGCCAGCACAACUUACCAGAAGUCCCUGCUGCAGCUCCAGGGUAUAGAGGAACAAUUGCCAGGUCAAUUUACCAGAAGUCCCUGCUGCUGCUCUAGGGUGAAGAGGAACACUUGCCAGCACAACUUACCCGAAGUCCCUGCUGCAGCUCCAGCGUAUAGAGGAACACUUGCCAGGUCAACUUACCAGAAGUCCCUGCUGCUGCUCCAGGGUGAAGAGGAACACUUGUGACCCCAAGUAACCAGAAGUCCCUGAAGCCGCUACAGGGUGAAGAGAAACACUUGUCAUCACAAGUAACCAGAAAUCCCUGCUGCUGCUCCAGGUUGAAGAGGACCACUUGCCAUCAAAUGUUAGCAGAAAUCUUUCCUGUAACUACUGGGUGAAGAAGACCAAUUGCCCUAAGAAAAAUGCAUAGGACAGAGCUGAAGCUUAGGGUUGAGAGAGGCCUUUGCCAUCACAACUACAUAGAUGUGCCAGCUGCAGCUUAUGGGUGGAAGGAGGCCAUUCCCAUCACAACUAAGCAGAGGUCCAAGCUGUAGCUCCUGUUUGAAGAACACUUCCUAUCUCCAAUAACUGGACGUCCCACCUGUAGGUCCAGUUUGACGAAAAGAACUUGCCACCACAAGGAACCAGAAGUCCCUGCUGCAUCUCCAGGGUGACGAGGAAUACUUGUGACCACAAGUACCCAGAAUCCCUGCUGCUGCUCAAGGGCAAAGAACAACUGUUGCCAUCACAAGUUACCCUGAAGUCCCUGCUGCCACUCCAGGGUGAAGAGGAACACUAGUCAACACAAGUAGCCAGAAGUCCCUCCUGCUGCUCCAGGGUGAAGAGGAACACUUGCCAUCACAACUUGCCAGAAGUCCCUGCUGCAGCUCCACGGUGAAGAGGAACACUUGCCAUCACAUGUUGUCAGAAGUCCCUUCUUAAGCUCCAGGGUGAAGAGGAAUAAUUGCGACCAUAAAUACCCCUAAUUCCUGCUACUGCUCGAGGGCAAAGAACAACUGUUGCCAUCACAUGUUGCCUGAAGUCCCUGCUGCCGCUCCAAGGUGAAGAGGAACACUUGUGACCACAAGUACGCAGAAGUCCCUGCUGCUGCACCAGGGUGAAGAAAAACAGUUGCCAUUACAAGUUGCCAGAAGUCCCUGCUGCACCUCCAGGGUGAAGAGGAACACUUGUGACCACAAGUAACCAGAAGUCCUUGCUGCAGCUCCAGGGUGAAGAGGAACACUUGCCAUCACAAGUAACGAGAAAUCCCUGCUGCUGCUCCAGGGUGAAGAACAACAGUUGCCAUCACAUGUUGCCAGAAGUCCCUGCUGCUGGUCCAGGGUGACGACAAACACUUUUGAUCACAAGUAACCAGAAGUCCGUGCAUUAGUUCCAGGGUGAAGAGGAACAUUUGUGAACAGAAGUACCCAGAAGUCCCUGUUGCUGCUCCAGGGUGAAGAAGAACACUUGUGACCACAAGUAUCCCAAAGUCUCUGCUGCUGCUCCAGGGUGAAGACGAACAAUUGUCAUCACAAGUAACCAGAAGUCCCUGCUGUAGCUCCAGGGUGAAGAGGAACACUUGUGACCACAAGUACCCAGAAGUCCCUGCUGCUGCUCCAGGGUGAAGAACAACAGUUGCCAAUACAAGUUGCCUGAAGUCCCUGCUGCUGCUCCAAGGUGAAGAGGACCACGUGCCAUGAAAUGUUACCAGAAAUCUUUCCUGAAGCUACUGGAUGAAGAAGACCAAAUUCCCUAAGAAAAAUGCAGAAGACACAGCUGGAGCUUAGAGGUGUAGAGAGUCCUUUGAUAUCACAACAAAUCAAAGGUCUCAGUUGCAGCUCUUGGUUGGACUGAGGUCUUUGCCAUCACAACCUAGCAGAGGUCUCAUUUACUGCUCCAGGACAAAACGAGGCCUUUGCCAUCACAACUACGCAGACGUCCCAACUGCAGCUUAGGGGUGGAGAGAGGCCUUUGCCAUCCCAACCAAGUAAAGGUCGAAGCUGCAGUUACCCCUUUGAAGAAGAACACUUCCUAUCACCAAUAACUAGACGUCCCAGCUGCAUGUCCAGUGUGACAAAAAGAACUUCCCAACACAAGUAACCAGAAAUCCCUGGUGCUGCUCCAGGGUGAAGAACAACAGUUAACAUAACAUAUAACCAGAAGUCCAUGCUGCUACUCCAUGGUGAAGAACAACAGUUGCCAUCACAAGUUGCCAGAAGUCCCUGCUGCUGCUCGAGGGUGAAGACGAACACUUAUCAUCACAAGUAACCAGAAGUCCCUGCUGCAGCUCCAGGGUGAAGUCGAACAGCUGUAAUCACAAGUACCCAGAAGUCCCUGCUGCUGCUCCAGGGUGACGAACAAUAGUUGCCAUUACAAGUUGCCUGAAGUCCUUGUAGCUUUUCCAACGUGAAGAGGAACUCUUGCUAUCAGAAGUUAGCAGAAGUCCCGGUGGUAGCUCCAAGGUGAUGAGGAACACUUGUCAUCACAAGUACCCAGAAGUCCCUGCUGCUGCUCUAGGGUGAAGAAUAACAGUUUCCAUUACAAGUUGACUAAAGUCCCUGCUGCUGUUCCAAGGUGAAGAGGACCAUGUGCCCUGAAAUCUUUUCUAAAUCUACUAGGUGAUGAAGACUAAAUUCCCUAAGAAAAAUGCAGAAGACACAGCUGCAGCUUACGGGUCGAGAGAGGCCUUUGAUAGCACAACAAAUCAGAGGUCGCAGUUGCACCUCUGGGUUGGACAGAGGUCUUUGCUAUCACAACGUAGCAGAGGUCUCAUUUACCGCUCCAGGAUAGAACGAGGCCUUUGCCAUCACAACUAAGCAGAGGUCCAAGCUGCACCUCCCAUUUGAAGAAUACUUCCUAUCACCAAUAACUAAAUGUCCCAGCUGCAGGUCCAGUGUGAAGAAAAGAACUUGCCUCCACAAGUAACCAAAAGUCCCUCCUGCUGCUCCAGGGUGAAAAACAAUAUUUGCCAUCACAAGUUGCCAGAAAUCCCUGGUGCUACUCCAGGGUGAAGAACAAUAGUUAACAUAACAUGUAACCUGAAGUCCCUGCUGCUGCUUCAGGGUGAAGAGGAACACUUGUGACCACAAGUACCCAGAAAUCCCUGUUGCUACUCCAUGGUUAAGAACAACAGUUACCAUCACAAGUUGCCAGAAGUCCCUGCUGUUGCUCCAGGGUGAAGAGGAACACAUGUGAUCACAAGUAACCAAAAGUCCCUCCUGCAGCUCCCAGGUGAAGAGGAACACUUGCCAUCAAAAGUUACCAGAAGUCCCUGCUGCAGCUCCAGGGUGAAGACGAACAUUUGUCAUCACAAGUAAUCAGAAGUCCCUGCUGUAGCUCCAGGGUGAAGAGGAACACUUGUGAGCAAAAGUACGCAGAAGUCCCUGCUGCUGCUGCAGGGUGAAGAGGAACACUUGUGACCACAAGUAACCAGAAUUCCCUGCUGAUGCUCUAGGGUGAAGAGGAAUACUUGUCAUCACAUGUUACCAGAAGUUCCUGCUGCAGGUCCAGGGUAAAGACGAACACUUGUGACCAUAAGUACCCAGAAGUCCCUGCUGCUGCUCCAGGGUGAAGAACAACAGUUUCCAUUACAAGUUCCCUGAAGUCCCUGCUGCUGCUCCAAGGUGAAGAAGACCACCUGCCAUGAAAUGUUACUAGAAAUCUUACCGGAAGCUACUAGGUGAAUAUGACCAAAUUCCCUAAGAAAAAUGCAGAAGACGCAGCUGCAGCUUAGGGGUGGAGAGAGGCCUUUGCCAUCACAACCAAGCAGAGGUCCAAGCUGCAGCUCCUGUUUGAAGAAGAACCCUUCCUAUCACCAAUAACUGGACAUCACAGCUGCAGGUCCAGUGUAAAGAAAAGAACUUGCCUCCACAAGUAUCGAGAAGUCCCUCCUGCUGCUCCAGGGUGAAGAACAACUGUUGCCAUCAAAAGUUACCAGAAGUCCCUGCUGCAGCUCCAGGGUGAAGACGAACAUUUGUCAUCACAAGUAAUCAGAAGUCCCUGCUGUAGCUCCAGGGUGAAGAGGAACACUUGUGAGCAAAAGUACCCAGAAGUCCCUGCUGCUGCUGCAGGGUGAAGAGGAACACUUGUGACCACAAGUACCCAGAAGUCCCUGCUGCUGCUGCAGGGUGAAGAGGAACACUUGUGACCACAAGUAACCAGAAUUCCCUGCUGACGCUCUAGGGUGAAGAGGAAUACUUGUCAUCACAUGUUACCAGAAGUUCCUGCUGCAGGUCCAGGGUAAAGACGAACACUUGUGACCAUAAGUACCCAGAAGUCCCUGCUGUACCUCCAGGGUGAAGAACAACAGUUUCCAUUACAAGUUCCCUGAAGUCCCUGCUGCUGCUCCAAGGUGAAGAAGACCACCUGCCAUGAAAUGUUACUAGAAAUCUUACCGGAAGCUACUAGGUGAAGACGACCAAAUUCCCUAACAAAAAUGCAGAAGACGCAGCUGCAGCUUAGGGGUGGAGAGAGGCCUUUGCCAUCACAACAAAGCAGAGGUCCAAGCUGCAGCCCCUGUUUGAAGAAGAACCCUUCCUAUCACCAAUAACUGGACAUCACAGCUGCAGGUCCAGUGUAAAGAAAAGAACUUGCCUCCACAAGUAUCGAGAAGUCCCUCCUGCUGCUCCAGAGUGAAGAACAACUGUUGCCAUCACAAUUUGCCAGAAGCCCCUGCUACUGCUCCAGGGUGAAGAGGAACACUUGUGACGACAAGUAACCAGAAGUCCCUGCUGACGCUCUAGGUUGAAGAGGGAUACUUGCCAUCACAAGUUACCAGAUGUCCCUGCUGCAGCUCCAGGGUGAAGAGCAACACUUGCCAUCAAAGGUUACCAGAAAUCUUUCCUGUAGCUACUGGGUGAAGAAGACCAAUUACCCCAAGAAAAAUGCAGAGGACGCAGCUGCAGAUUAAGGGUGGAGAGAGGCCUUUUCUAUCAAAACAAAGCAGAGAUCUCAGCUGCAGCUCCAAGAUGGAGAGAGGCGUUUUCCAUCACAACUACAUAGAUGUCCCAGCUGCAGCUUAAGGAUGGAUGUAGGCCUUUGCUAUCACAACUAAGCAGAAGUCCAAGCUGCACCUCCCGUUUGAAGAAAAACACUUCAUAUUCCCCAUAACUAUACGUCCCAGUUGCAUGUCCAGUGUGACAAAAAGAUCUUGCCACCACAAGUAACCAGAAGUCCCUGGUACUGCUCCAGGGUGAAGAACAACAGUUAACAUAACAUGUAAGCAGAAGUCCCUGCUGCUACUCCAGGGUGAAGAACAACAGUUGUCAUCACAAGUAACCAGAAGUCCCUGCUGCUGCUCCAGGGUGAAGAACAACAGUUACCAUUACAAAUUGCCUGAAGUCCCUGCUGCUGCUCCAAGGUGAGGAGGAACACUUGCCAUCACAAGUUACCAGAAGUCCCUGAUGUAGCUCCAGGGUGAAGAGGAACACUUGUGAUCACAAGUUACCAGAAGUCCCUGCUGCUGCUCCAAGGCGAAGAGGAUGACUUGUGACCACAAGUACCCAGAAAUCCCUGCUGCUGCUCCAGGGUGAAGAACAACAGUUGCCAUUACAAGUUGCCUGAAGUACCUGCUGCUGCUCCCAGGUGAAGAGGAACACUUGCCAUCACAAGGUACCAGAAGUCACAGCUGUAGGUCCAGGGUGAAGAGGAACACUUGUGAUCACAAGUUACCAGAAGUCCCUCCUGCUGCUUCAGCGUGAAGAACAACAGUUUCCAUUACAAGUUGCCUGAAGUCCCUGCUGCUGCUCCAAGGUGAAGAGGACCACGUGCCAUGAAAGGUUACUAGAAAUCUUUCCUGAAGCUAGUGGGUGAAGAAGACCAAAUUCCCUAAGAAAAAUGCAGAAGAUACAGCUGUAGCUUAGGGGUGGAGAGAGAAGGCUUUGAUAUCAUAACAAAUCAGAGGUCUCAGUUGCAGCUCUGGGUUGGACAGAGGUCUUUGCUAUCGCAACCUAGCAGAGGUCUCAUUUACCAUUUCAGGAUAGAACGAGGCCUUUGCCAUCACAACUACGCAGACGUCUCAACUGCAGCUUAGGGGUGGAGAGAGGCCUUUGCCAUCACAACUAAGCACAGGUCUCAGCUGCAGUUCUAGGAAGUAGAGACACCUUUGCCAUCACAACCAAGAAGCUGUCUCAGCUGCAGCUCCAAGAUGGAGAGAGGCCUUUGCCAUCACAACUAAGCAGAAGUCCAAGCUGCACCUCCCGUUUGAAGAAGAACACUUCCUAUCACCAAUAAGUAGAUGUCCCAGCUGCAGGUCCAGUGUGAAGAAAAGAACUUGCCUCCACAAGUAAUGAGAAGUCCCUCCUGCUGCUCCAGGGUGAAAAACAACAUUUGCCAUCAUAAGUUGCCAGAAGUCCCUGCUGUAGCUCCAGGUUGAAGAGGAACACUUGUGACCACAAGUAAACAGAAGUCCCUGCUGCUGCUCCAGGGUGAAGAACAACAGUUGCCAUUACAAGUUGCCUGAAGUCCCUGCUGCUGCUCCAAGGUGAAGAGGAACACUUGCCAUCACAAGUUACCAAAAGUCCCUGCUGUAGCUCCAGGGUGAAGAGGAACACUUGUGAUCACAAGUUACCAGAAGUCCCUGUUGCUGCUCCAGGGUGAAGAGGAACAUUUGUGACCACAAGUAACCAGAAAUCCCUGCUGUAGCUCUAGGGUGAAUAGGACCAUUUGAAAUCAAAAGUUACCAGAUAUCUUUCCUGUAGCUACUUGGUGAAGAAGACGAAUUACCCCAAGAAAAUUGCAGAGGACGCAGCUGCAGAUUAGGGGUUGGAGAGAGGCCUUUGCUAUUAAAACAAAAGACGUCUCAGCUACAGCUCCAGGGAGGAGAGAGGCCUUUGCCAUCAGAAGAAAGCAGAGGUCUUAGCUGCAGUUCCAAGAUGGAGAGAGGCCUUUGCCAUCACACUAAGGAGAGGUCCAAGCAGCAACUCCCAUUUGAAGAAGAACACUUCCUAUCACCAAUAACUCGACAUCCCAGCUCCAUGUCCAGUGUGACAAAAAGAACUUGCCACCACAAGAACCCAGAAUUCCCUGCUCCUGCUCCAGGGUGAAGAACAACAGUUGCCAUCACCAGUUGCCAGAAGUCCCUGCUGCUGCUCCAGGGUGAAGAGGAACACUUGUGAUGACAAGUAACCAGAAGUCCCUACUGACGCUCCAGGGUGAAGAGGAAUACUUGCCAUCACACGUUACAAGAAGUCCCUGCUGUAGUUCCAGGGUGAAGAGGAACAUCUGUGACCACAAGUACCCAGAAGUCCCUGCUGCUGCUCCAGGGUGAAGAGUAACACUUGCUAUCACAACUUACCAGAAGUCCCUGCUGCUGCUCCAGGGUGAAGAACAACAGUUGCCAUUACACGUUGCCUGAUGUCCCUGCUGCAGCUCCAGGGUGAAGGGCAACACUUGCCAUCACAAGUUACCAGAAGUCCCUGCUGCAGCUCCAGGGUGAAGAGGAACACUUGUCAUCAAAAGUAUCCAGAAGUCCCUGCUGCUGCUCCAGGGUGAAGAGGAACACUUGUGACCACAAGUACCCAGAAGUCCCUGCUGCAGCUCCAGGGUGAAGAAUAACAGUUUCCAUUACAAGUUGACUAAAGUCCCUGCUGCUGCUCCAAGGUGAAGAGGACCACGUGCCAUGAAAUGUUGCCAGAAAUCUUUCCUGAAGUUACUGGGUGAAGAAGACCAAUUUCCCUAAGAAAAAUGCAGAAGAAAUAGCUGCAGGUUAGGGGUGGAGAGAGACCUUUGAUAUCACAACAAAUCAGAGGUCUCAGUUGCAGCUCUGGGUUGGACAGAGGUCUUUGCUAUCACAACCUAGCAUAGGUCUCAUUUGCUGCUCUAGGAAAGAAUGAGGCCUUUGCCAUCACAACUACUGAGACGUCCCAACUGCAGCUUAGGGGUGGAGAGAGGCCUUUGCCAUCACAACCAAGCAGAGGUCCAAGCUGCAGCUCCCGUUUGAAGAAGAACACUUACUAUCACCAAUAAAUGGACAUCAUAGCUGCGGGUCCAGUGUAAAGAAAAGUACUUGCCUCCAAAAGUAACCAGAAGUCCCUCCUGCUGCUCUAGGGUGAAGAACAACAGUUGCCAUCACCAGUUGCCAGAAGUCCCUGCUGCUGCUCCAGGGUGAAGAGGAACACUUGUGAUGACAAGUAACCAGAAGUCCCUACUGACGCUCCAGGGUGAAGAGGAAUACUUGCCAUCACAUGUUACCAGAUGUCCCUGCUGCAGCUCCAGGGUGAAGUGCAACACUUGCCAUCACAAGUUACCAGAAGUCCCUGCUGUAGCUCCAGGGUGAAGAGGAACAGUUGCCGUCACAAGUUACCAGAAGUCCCUGCUGCAGCUCCAGGGUGAAGAGCAACACUUGCCAUCACAAGUUCCCAGAAGUCCCUGCUGCAGCUCCAGGGUGAAGAGCAACACUUGCCAUCACAAGUUACCAGAAGUCCCUGCUGUAGCUCCAGGGUGAAGAGGAACACUUGCGCUCACAAGUUACCAGAAGUCCCUGCUGCUGCUGUAGGGUGAAGAAUAACAGUUGCCAUCACAAGUUGCCAGAAGUCCCUGCUGCUGCUGUAGGGUGAAGAAUAACAGUUGCCAUUACAAGUUGACUAUAGUCCUUGCUGCUGCUCCAAGGUGAAGAGGACCAGGUGCUAUGAAAUGUUACCAGAAAUCUUUACUGAAGCUAGUGGGUGAAGAAGACCAAUUUCCCUAAGAAAAAUGCAGAAGACACAGCUGCAGCUUAGGGGUGGAGAGAGGCCUUUGAUAUCACAACAAAUCAGAGGUCUCAGUUGCAGCGCUGGGUUGGACAGAGGUCUCUGCUAUCACACCCUAGCAGAGGUCUCAUAUACCGCUCCUGGACAGAACGAGGCCUUUGCCAUCACAACUACGCAGACGUCCCAAAUGGAACUUAGGGUUGGAAAGAGGCCUUUGCCAUCAAAACCAAGCAGAAGUACAAGCUGUACCUCCCGUUUGAAGAAGAACACUUCCUAUCACCAAUAACUGAACAUCACAGCUGCAGGUCCAAUGUGAAGAAAAGAACUUGCCUCCACAAGUAACCAGAAGUCCCUCCUCCUGCUCUAGGGUGAAGAACACCAGUUGCCAUCACAAUUUGCCACAAGUCCCUGCGGCUGCUCCAGGGUGAAGAACACUUGUGGUGACAAGUAACCAGAAGUUCCUGCUGAGGCUCCAGGGUGAAGAGGAACACUUGUGACCACAAGUACCCAGAAGUCCCUGCUGCUGCUCCAGGGUGAAGAACAACAGUUGCCAUUACAAGUUACCAGAAGUCCCUGCUGUAGCUCCAGGGUGAAGAGGAACACUUGUGACCACAAGUACCAGAAGUCCCUGCUGCUGCUCCAGGGUGAAGAAUAACAGUUUCCAUUACAAGUUGACUAAAGUCCCUGCUGCUGCUACAAGGUGAAGAGGACCACGUGCCAUGAAAUGUUGCCAGAAAUCUUUCUUGAAGCUAGUAGGUGAAGAAGACCAAUUUUGCUAAGAAAAAUGCAGAAGACACAGCUGCAGCUUAGGGGUGGAGAGAGGCCUUUGAUAUCACAACAAAUCAGAGGUCUCAGUUGCAGCUCUGGGUUGGACAGAGGUCUUUGCUAUCACACCCUAGCAGAGGUCUCAUAUACCGCUCCAGGAUAGAACGAGGCCUUUGCCAUCACAACUACGCAGACGUCACAACUGCAGCUUAGGGGUGGAGAGAGGCCUUUGCCAUCACAACCAAGCAGAGGUCCAAGCUGCAGCUCCCGUUUGAAGAAGAACACUUACUAUCACCAAUAACUGGACAUCACAGCUGCGGGUCCAGUGUGAAGAAAAGCACUUGCCUCCAAAAGUAACCAGAAGUCCCUCCUGCUGCUCUAGGGUGAAGAACAACAGUUGCCAUCACAAGUUGCCAGAAGUCCCUGCUGCUGCUCCAGGGUGAAGAGGAACACUUGUGAUGUCAAGUAACCAGAAGUCCCUGCUGACGCUCCAGGGUGAAGAGGAAUACUUGCCAUCACAAGUUACCAGAAGUCCCUGCUGCAGCUCCAGGGUGAAGAGCAACACUUGCCAUCACAAGUUACCAGAAGUCCCUGCUGUAGCUCCAGGGUGAAGAGGAACACUUGCGAUCACAAGUUACCAGAAGUCCCUGCUGCUGCUCUAGGGUGAAGAAUAACAGUUGCCAUCACAAUUUGCCAGAAGUCCCUGCGGCUGCUCCAGGGUGAAGAACACUUGUGGCGACAAGUAAACAGAAGUUCCUGCUGACGCUCCAGGGUGAAGAGGAACACUUGUGACCACAAGUACCCAGAAGCCCCUGCUGUAGCUCCAGGGUGAAGAGGAACACUUGUGACCACAAGUACCCAGAAGUCCCUGCUGCUGCUCCAGGGUGAAGAACAAGAUUUGCCAUUACAAGUUGCCUGAUGUACCUGCUGCUGCUCUAAGGGGAAGAGGAACACUUGGCGUCACAAGUUACCAGAAGUCCCUGCUGCUGCUCCAGGGUGAAGAACAACAGUUGCCAUUACAAGUUACCAGAAGUCCCUGCUGUAGCUCCAGGGUGAAGAGGAACACUUGUGAUCACAAGUUACCAGAAGCCCCUGCUGCUGCUCCAGGGUGAAGAGGAACACUUGCCAUCAAAAGUUACCAGAAGUCCCUGCUGUAGCUCCAGGGUGAAGAGGAACACUUGUGAUCACAAGUUACCAGAAGUCCCUGCUGCUGCUCUAGGGUGAAGAACAACAGUUGCCAUUACAAGUUGCCUGAAGUCCCUGCUGCAGCUCCAGGGUGAAGAGGAACACUUGCCAUCACAAGUUACCAGAAGUCCCUGCUGUAGUUCCAGGUUGAAGAGGAACAUCUGUGACCAUAAGUAACCUGAAGUCCCUGGUGCUGCUCCAGGGUGAAGAACAACAGUUGCCAUUACAAGUUGCCUGAAGUCCCUGCUGCUGCUCCAAGGUGAAGAGGAACACUUGCCAUCACAAGUUACCAGAAGUCCCUGCUGCAGCUCCAGGGUGAAGAGCAACACUUGCCAUCACAAGUUACCAGAAGUCCCUGCUGCAGCUCCAGGGUGAAGAGCAACACUUGCCAUCACAAGUUACCAGAAGUCCCUGCUGCAGCUCCAGGGUGAAGAGCAACACUUGCCAUCACAAGUUACCAGAAGUCCCUGCUGCAGCUCCAGCGUGAAGAGCAACACUUGCCAUCACAAGUUACCAGAAGUCCCUGAUGCUGCUCUAGGGUGUAGAAUAACAGUUUCCAUUACAAGUUGACUAAAGUCCCUACUGCUGUUCCAAGGUGAAGAGACCACGUGCCAUGAAAUGUUACCAGAAAUCUUUCCUGAAGCUACUGGGUGAAGAAGACCAAUUUCCCUAAGAAAAAUGCAGAAGACACAGCUGCAGCUUAGGGGUGGAGAGAGGCCUUUGAUAUCACAACAAAUCAGACGUCUCAGUUGCAGCUCUGGGUUGGACAGAGGUCUUUGCUAUCACAACCUAGCAUAGGUCUCAUUUACCGCUCCAGGAUAGAACGAGGCCUUUGCCAACCACAACUACGCAGGCGUCACAACUGCAGCUUAGUGGUGGAGAGCGGCCUUUGCUAUUACAACCAAGCAGAGGUCCAAGCUGCAGCUCCCGCUUGAAGAAGAACACUUCCUAUCACCAAUAAGUGGACUUCACAGCUGCAGCUCCAGUGUGAAGAAAAGGACUUUCCUCCAAAAGUAACCAGAAGUCCCUCCUGCUGCUCUAGGGUGAAGUACAACAGUUGCCAUCACAAGGUGCCAGAAGUCCCUGUUGCUGCUCCAGGGUGAAGAGCAACACUUGCCAUUACAAGUUACCAGAAGUCCCUGUUGCAGCUCCAGGGUGAAGAGCAACACUUGCCAUCACAAUUUGCCAGAAGUCCCUGCUGCAGCUCCAUGGUGAAUACGAACAUUUGCCAUCAAAAGUUACCAGAAAUCUUUCCUGUAGCUACUGGGUGAAGAUGACCAAUUACCCCAAGAAAAAUGCAGAGGACGCAGCUUCAGAUUAGGGGUGGAGACAGGCCUUUUCUAUCAAAACAAAGCAGAGGUCUCAGCUACAGCUCCGGGGUGGAGAGAGGCCUUUGCCAUCAGAAGAAAGCAGAGGUCUCAGCUGUAGUUCUAGGAUGUAGAGACACCUUUGCCAUCACAACCAAGAAGCUGUCUCAGCUGCAGCUCCCAGAUGGAGAGAGGCCUUUGCCAUCACAACUAAGCAGAAGUCCAAGCUGCAGCUCCUGUUUGAAGAAGAACACUUCCUAUCAGCAAUAAUUAGACGUCCCAGCUGCAUGUCCAGUGUGACAAAAAAACUUGUCACCACAAAUAACCAGAAUUUCCUGCUGCAGCUCCAGGGUGAAGACGAACACUUGUCAUCACAAGUAACCAGAAGUCCCUGCUGUAGCUCUAGGGUGAAGAGGAACACUUGUGAUCCUAAGUUACCAGAAGUCCCUGCUGUAGCUCCAGGGUGAAGAGGAACACUUGUGAUCAAAAGUUACCAGAAGUCCCUGCUGCUGCUCCAGGGUGAAGAACAACAGUUUCCAUUACAAGUUGCCUAAAGUCCCUGCUGCUGCUCCAAGGUGAAGAGGACCAAGUGCUAUGAAAUGUUACCAGAAAUCUUUCCUGAAGCUUGUGGGUGAAGAAGACCAAUUUCGCUAAGAAAAAUGCAGAAGACACAGCUGCAACUUAGGGGAGGAGAGAGGCCUUUGAUAUCGCAACAAAUCAGAGGUCUCAGUUGUAGCUCUGGGUUGGACAGAGGUCUUUGCUAUCACACCCUAGCAGAGGUCUCAUGUACCGCUACAAGAUAGAGUGAGGCCUUUGCCAUCACAACUACGCAGACGUCCCAACUGCACCUUAGGGGUGGAAAGAGGCCUUUGCCAUCACAACCAAGCAGAAGUACAAGCUGCACCUCCCGCUUGAAGAUGAACACUUCCUAUCACCAAUAACUGAACAUUACAUCUGCAGGUCCAGUGUGAAGAAAAGAACUUGCCUCCACAAGUAACCAGAAGUCCCUCCUCCUGCUCUAGGGUGAAGAACACCAGUUCCCAUCACAAUUUGCCAGAAGUCCCUGCGGCUGCUCCAGGGUGAAGAACACUUGUGGCGACAAGUAAACAGAAGUUCCUGCUGACGCUCCAGGGUGAAGAGCAACAGUUGCCAUUACAAGUUACCAGAAGUCCCUGCUGUAGCUCCAGCGUAAAGAGGAACACUUGUGAUCACAAGUACCCAGAAGUCCCUGCUGUAGCUCCAGCGUGAAGAGGAACACUUGUGACCACAAGUACCCAGAAGUCCCUGCUGCUGCUCCAGGGUGAAGAACAACAGUUGCCAUUACAAGUUGCCUGAUGUACAUGCUGCUGCUCCAAGGUGAAGAGGAACACUUGCCAUCACAAGUUACCAGAAGUCCCUGCUGUAGCUCCAGGGUGAAGAGGAACACUUGUGAUCACAAGUUACCAGAAGUCCCUGCUGUAGCUCCAGGGUGAAGAGGAACACUUGUGAUCACAAAUUACCAGAAGUCCCUGCUGCUCCUCUAGGGUGAAGAAUAACAGUUUCCAUUACAAGUUGACUAAAGUCCCUGCUGUUGCUCCAAGGUGAAGAGGUCCAAGUGCCAUGAAAUGUUGCCAGAAAUCUUUCCUGAAGAUACUGGGUGAAGAAGACCAAUUUCCCUAAGAAAAAUGCAGAAGACAUAGCUGCAGAUUAGUGGUGGAGAGAGGCCUUUGAUAUCACAACAAAUCAGAGGUCUCAGUUGCAGCUCUGGGUUGGACAGAGGUCUUUGCUAUCACAACCUAGCAUAGGUCUCAUUUACCGCUCCAGGAAAGAAUGAGGCCUUUGCCAUCACAACUACGCAGACGUCCCAACUGCAGCUUAGGGGUCGAGAGAGGCCUUUGCCAUCACAACCAAGCAGAGGUCCAAGCUGCAGCUCCCGUUUGAAGAAGAACACUUCCUAUCACCAAUAAGUGGACAUCACAGCUGCGGGUCCAGUGUGAAGAAAAGCACUUGCCUCCAAAAGUAACCAGACGUCCCUCCUGCUGCUCUAGGGUGAAGAACAACAGUUGCCAUCACAAGUUACCAGAAGUCCCUGCUGCUGCUCUAGGGUGAAGAAUAACAGUUUCCAUUACAAGUUGACUAAAGUCCCUGCUGCUGUUCCAAGGUGAAGAGGACCAAGUGCCAUGAAAUGUUUCUAGAAAUCUUUCCUGAAGCUACUGGGUGAAGAAGACCAAUUUCCGUAAGAAAAAUGCAGAAGACACAGCUGCAGCUUAGUGGUGGAGAGAGGCCUUUGCCAGUACAACCAAGCAGAGGUCCAAGCUGCAGCUCCCGUUUGAAGAAGAACACUUAAUAUGACCAAUAACUGGACAUCACAGCUGCGGGUCCAGUGUGAAGAAAAGCACUUGCCUCCAAAAGUAACCAGAAGUCCCUCCUGCUGCUCUAGGGUGAAGAACAACAGUUGCCAUCACAAGUUGUCAGAAGUCCCUGCUGCAGCUCCACGGUGAAGAGCAACACUUGCCAUCACAAGUUACCAGAAGUCCCUGCUGUAGCUCCAGGGUGAAGAGGAACACUUGUGAUCACAAGUUACCAGAAGUCCCUGCUGCUGCUCCAGGGUGAAGAACAACAGUUUCCAUUACAAGUUGCCUAAAGUCCCUGCUGCUGCUCCAAGGUGAAGAGGACCACGUGCCAUGAAAUGUUACCAGAAAUCUUUCCUGAAGCUACUGGGUGAAGAAGACCAAUUUCGCUAAGAAAAAUGCAGAAGACACAGCUGCAGCUUAGGGGUGGAGAGAGGCCUUUGAUAUCAUAACAAAUCAGAGGUCUCAGUUGCAGCUCUGGGUUGGACAGAGGUCUUUGCUAUCACAACCUAGCAGAGGUGUCAUAUACCGCUCCAGGAUAGAAUGAGGCCUUUGCCAUCACAACUACGCAGACGUCCCAACUGCAGCUUAGGGGUGGAGAGAGGCCUUUGCCAUCACAACCAUGCAGAGGUCCAAGCUGCAGCUCCCGUUUGAAGAAGAACACUUAAUAUCACCAAUAACUGGACAUCACAGCUGCGGGUCCAGUGUGAAGAAAAGCACUUGCCUCCAAAAGUAACCAGAAGUCCCUCCUGCUGCUCUAGGGUGAAGAACAACAGUUGCCAUCACAAGUUGCCAGAAGUCCCUGCUGCUGCUCCAGGGUGAAGAGGAACACUUGUGAUGACAAGUAACCAGAAGUCCCUGCUGACGCUCCAGGGUGAAGAGGAAUACUUGCCAUCACAAGUUACCAGAAGUCCCUGCUGCAGCUCCAGGGUGAAGAGCAACACUUGCCAUCACAAGUUAACAGAAGUCCCUGCUGCAGCUCCAGGGUGAAGAGCAACACUUGCCAUCACAAGUUACCAGAAGUCCCUGCUGCUGCUCUAGGGUGAAGAAUAACAGUUUCCAUUACAAGUUGCCUAAAGUCCCUGCUGCUGCUCCAAGGUGAAGAGGACCACGUGCCAUGAAAUGUUUCUAGAAAUCUUUCCUGAAGCUACUGGGUGAAGAAGACCAAUUUCCCUAAGAAAAAUGCAGAAGACACAGCUGCAGCUUAGUGGUGGAGAGAGGCCUUUGCCAGUACAACCAAACAGAGGUCCAAGCUGCAGCUCCCGUUUGAAGAAGAACACUUCCUAUCACCAAUAAGUGGACAUCACAGCUGCAGUUCCAGUGUGAAGAAAAGCACUUGCCUCCAAAAGUAACCAGAAGUCCCUCCUGCUGCUCCAGGGUGAAGAACAACAGUUGCCAUCACAAGUUGGCAGAAGUCCUUGCUGCUGCUCCAGGGUGAAGAGGAACACUUGUGAUGACAAGUAACCAGAAGUCCCUGCUGACGCUCCAGGGUGAAGAGGAAUACUUGCCAUCACAAGUUACCAGAAGUCCCUGCUGUAGCUCCAGGGUGAAGAGGAACACUUGUGAUCACAAGUUACCAGAAGUCCCUGCUGCUGCUCCAGGGUGAAGAACAACAGUUUACAUUAUAAGUUGCCUAAAGUCCCUGCUGCUGCACCAAGGUGAAGAGGACCACGUGCCAUGAAAUGUUACUAGAAAUCUUUCCUGAAGCUAAUGGGUGAAGAAGACCAAUUUCGCUAAGAAAAAUGCAGAAGACACAGCUGCAGCUUAGGGGUGGAGAGAGGCCUUUGAUAUCAUAACAAAUCAGAGGUCUCAGUUGCAGCUCUGGGUUGGUCAGAGGUCUUUGCUAUCACAACCUAGCAGAGGUGCCAUAUACCGCUCCAGGAUAGAAUGAGGCCUUUGCCAUCACAACCAAGCUGAGGUCCAAGCUGCAGCUCCCGUUUGAAGAAGAACACUUAAUAUCACCAAUACCUGGACAUCACAGCUGCGGGUCCAGUGCGAAGAAAAGCACUUGCCUCCAAAAGUAACCAGAAGUCCCUCCUGCUGCUCUAGGGUGAAGAACAACAGUUGCCAUUACAAGUUGCCAGAAGUCACUGCUGCUGCUCCAGGGUGAAGAGGAACACUUGUGAUGACAAGUAACCAGAAGUCCCUGCUGACGCUCCAGGGUGAAGAGGAACACUUGCCAUCACAAGUUACCAGAAGUCCCUGCUGCAGUUCCAGGGUGAAGAGCAACACUUGCCAUCAAUAGUUACCAGAAGUCCCUGCUGUAGCUCCAGGGUGAAGAGGAACACAUGUGAUCACAAGUUACCAGAAGUCCCUGCUGCUGCUCUAGGGUGAAGAAUAACAGUUUCCAUUACAAGUUGACUAAAGUCCCUGCUGCUGUUCCAAGGUGAAGAGGACCACGUGCCAUGAAAUGUUUCUAGAAAUCUUUCCUGAAGCUACUGGGUGAAGAAGACCAAUUUCCCUAAGAAAAAUGCAGAAGACACAGCUGCAGCUUAGUGGUGGAGAGAGGCCUUUGCCAGUACAACCAAGCAGAGGCCCAAGCUGCAGCUCCCGUUUGAAGAAGAACACUUCCUAUCACCAAUACGUGGACAUCACAGCUGCAGUUCCAGUGUGAAGAAAAGCACGUGCCUCCAAAAGUAACCAGAAGUCCCUCCUGCUGCUCUAGGGUGAAGAACAACAGUUGCCAUCACAAGUUCCCAGAAGUCCCUGCUGCAGCUCCAGGGUGAAGAGCAACACUUGCCAUCACAAGUUACCGGAAGUCCCUGCUGUAGCUCCAGGGUGAAGAGGAACACUUGUGAUCACAAGUUACCAGAAGUCCCUGCUGCUACUCCAGGGUUAAGAACAAAAGUUGCCAUCACAAGUUGCCAGAAGUCCCUGCUGCUGCUCCAGGGUGAAGAACAACAGUUCCCAUGACAAGUUGCCAGAAGUCCCUGCUGUUGCUCCAGGGUGAAGAGGAACACUUGUGACCACAAGCAACUAGAAGUCCCUGCUGACGCUCCAGUGUGAAGAGGAAUACUUGCUAUCACAAGAUACCAGAAGUUCCUGCUGCAGCUCCAGGGUGAAGAGGAACACUUGUCAUCAAAAGUAUCCAGAAGUCCCUGCUGUAGCUCCAGGGUGAAGAGGAACACUUGUUAUCACAAGUACCCAGAAGUCCCUGCUGCCGCUCCAGGUUGAAGAGCAAGACUUGUCAUCCUAAGUUGCCAGAAGUCCCUGCUGUAGCUCCAGGGUGAAUAGGACCAUUUGCCAUCAAAAGUUACCAGAAAUCUUUCCUGUAGCUACCGGGUGAUGAAGACCAAUUACCCCAAGAAAAAUGCAGUGGACCCAGCUGCAGAUUAGGGGGGGAGAGAGGCCUUUUCUAUCAAAACAAAGCAGAGGUCUCAGCUACAGCUCAGUGGUGGAGAGAGGCCUUUGCUAUCAGAAGAAAGCAGAGGUCUCAGCUGCAGUUCCAGGAUGCAGAGACAAAUUUUCCAUCACAACCAAGCAGCUGUCUCAGCUGCAGCUCCAAGAUGGAGAGAGGCCUUUGCCAUCACAACCAAGCAGAGGUCCAAGCUGCAGCUCCCAUUUGAAGAAGAACACUUACUAUCACCAAUAACUGGACAUCACAGCUGCAGGUCCAGUGUGAAGAAAAGCACUUGCCUCCAAAAGUAACCAGAAGUCCCUCCUGCUGCUCUAGGGUGAAGAAUAACAGUUGCCAUCACAAGUUGCCAGAAGUCCCUGCUGCUGCUCCAGGGUGAAGAGGAACACUUGUGAUGACAAGUAACCAGAAGUCCCUGCUGACGCUCCAGGGUGAAGAGGAAUACUUGCCAUCACAAGUUACCAGAAGUCCCUGCUGCAGCUCCAGGGUGAAGAGCAACACUUGCCAUCACAAGUUACCAGAAGUCCCUGCUGUACCUCCAGGGUGAAGAACAACAGUUUACAUUACAAGUUGCCUAAAGUCCCUGCUUCUGCACCAAGGUGAAGAGGACCACGUGCCAUGAAAUGUUACCAGAAAUCUUUCCUGAACAUAAUGGGUGAAGAGGACCACGUGCCAUGAAAUGUUACCAGAAAUCUUUCCUGAAGCUAAUGGGUGAAGAAGACCAAUUUCCCUAAGAAAAAUGCAGAAGACACAGCUGCAGCUUAGGGGUGGAGAGAGGCCUUUGAUAUCAUAACAAAUCAGAGGUCUCAGUUGCAUCUCUGGGUUGGACAGAGGUCUUUGCUAUCACAACCUAGCAGAGGUGUCAUAUACCGCUCCAGGAUAGAAUGAGGCCUUUGCCAUCACAACUACGCAGACGUCCCAACUGCAGCUUAGGGGUGGAGAGAGGCCUUUGCCAUCACAACCAAGCAGAGGUCCAAGCUGCAGCUCCCGUUUGAAGAAGAACACUUCCUAUCACCAAUAAGUGGACCUCACAGCUGCAGGUCCAGUGUGAAAAAAAGCACUUGCCUCCAAAAGUAACCAGAAGUCCCUUCUGCUGCUCUAGGGUGAAGAACAACAGUUGCCAUCACAAGUUGCAAGAAGUCCCUGCUGCUGCUCCAGGGUGAAGGGGAAAACUUUUGACCACAAAUACCCAGAAGUCCCUGCUGCUGCUCCAGGGUGAAGAGGAACACUUGCCAUCACAAGUUACCAGGAGUCCCUGCUGCAUCUCCAGGGUGAAGAGGAACAGUUGCCAUCACAAGUUACCAGAAGUCCCUGCUGCUACUCCAGGGUGAAGAACAACAGUUGCCCUCACAAUUUGCCAGAAGUCCCUGCUGCCGCUCCAGGGUGAAGAGGAACACUUGUGACCACAAGGACCCAGAAGUCCCUGCUGCUGCUCCUAGGUGAAGAGCAACACUUGCCAUCACAAGUUACCAGAAGUCCCUGCUGCUGCUCCAGGGUGAAGAGGAACACUUGCCAUCACAAGUUACCAGAAGUCCCUGCUGCUGCUCCAGGGUGAAGAACAAUAGUUGCCAUUACAAGGUGCCAGAAGUCCCUGCUGACGCUCCAGUGUGAAGAGGAAUACUUGCCAUCACAAGAUACCAGAAGUUCCUGCUGCAGCUCCAGGGUGAAGAGGAACAGUUGCCAUCACAAGUUACCAGAAGUCCCUGCUGCUACUCCAGGGUGAAGAACAACAGUUGCCCUCACAAUUUGCCAGAAGUCCCUGCUGCUGCUCCAGGGUGAAGAGGAACACUUGUGACCACAAGGACCCAGAAGUCCCUGCUGCUGCUCCUAGGUGAAGAGGAACACUUGCCAUCAGAAGUUACCAGAAGUCCCUGUUGCUGCUCCAGGGUGAAGAACAAUAGUUGCCAUUACAAGUUGCCAGAAGUCCCUGCUGCUGCUCCAAGGUGAAGAGGAACACUUGCCAUCACAAGUUACCAGAAGUCCCUGCUGCUGCUCCAGGGUGAAGAACAAUAGUUGCCAUUACAAGGUGCCAGAAGUCCCUGCUGACGCUCCAGUGUGAAGAGGAAUACUUGCCAUCACAAGAUACCAGCAGUUCCUGCUGCAGCUCCAGGGUGAAGACGAACACUUGUCAUCACAAGUAACCAGAAGUCCCUGCUGUAGCUCCAGGGUGAAGAGGAACACUUGUGAUCCCAAGUUACCAGAAGUCCCUGCUGCAGCUCCUGGCUGAAGAGGUACACAUUUCACCACAAGUAACCAGAAGUCCCUGUAGCAGCUCCAGGGUGAAGACGAACACUUGCCAUCACAAGUAAGCAGAAGUCCCUCCUGCAGCUCCAGGGUGAAGAACAACAGUUGCCAUCACAAAUUACUUGAAGUUCCUGCUGCAGGUCCAGGGUGAAGAGGAACACUUGCCAUCACACUUUACUCGAAGUCCCGGCCAUUGCUCCAGGGUGAAGAGGAAAACUUGCCAUCACAAGUAACCAGAAUUUCCUGAUGCCACUCGAGGGUGAAGAGGUGCCAUCAAAAAUUACGAGAAGUCCCUGCUGCUGUUCCAGGGGUAAAUAAGAGCAGUCCCAUCACACGUAACCAGAAUUCCCUGCUAUAGUGACAGGGUGAAGAGGAACACUUGCCAUCACACUUUACUCGACGUCCCGGCUAUUGCUCCAGGGUGAAGAGGAAAACUUGCCAUCACAAGUAACCAGAAUUUUCUGAUGCCACUCGAGGGUGAAGAGGUGCAGUUGCCAUCAAAAGUUACGAGAAGUCCCUGCUGCUGUUCCAGGGUGAUAUUCAUCUGGUAAACAUGGAAAGAAGCUGCUGUCCAAGUAAUUGAUGGUUUGAACCUGCUGUACCAAAGUUUUUUUCUAUGGAUCUCAACUUCGCCUUUGGAGUUCACUUUGAACUGCUUUUGAUUCAAUUCAUACGGACACCAGUUGUCAUUUUCACAUUGUCCUUCUCUGAUGUUUGAAAAGAUUGAAGGCAAAAGGAGAAGAGGAUGGCAGGAGGUGACAAAGAUGAGAGAGUGUCAUGGAAGGAGCAAACGUGAACUUGGACAGACUUUGUAAGAUAGCAGACAGAAGGGCCUGGUAUGCUAAGGUCUCUGGGGUCACAAAUCUUCAACGUUCAAAAUACCGGAGCCCAUAAAGUGAAUCAGAAGCAGGACAAACAGACAUCGGAUAACAAGACAGGGAUACACGAAGGAAGUGGGACUCAGAUGAGGACGUAUACAAUGGACGGGAACAAAGAAGACCCAAAGACAAGGAAUAUCCCAGAACAAUGAGAAUCCAUGACAUCUGCCCACCACAAUCUGUCCUGCCAUUCUCAAGACCAUGUGGCUUUCCUUCCCCUGCUUUGCUACCACAAGGAUGGAUACAGAACUUCCCACAACAAACACUGACAUCAUAUGGAGGAACCCGGUUUAUCUUCUUCUACGAUGGCAGAGUCAACUCUACAAAUGUACAUAGAAUAUAAGAGGGCCAAAAAGGAAUGGAAGGAAAGGAAAGGAAAGAGGAAAAAAAGGGAAGAGGAGGAAAAGGAAAUAAGCAUUUAUUAAGAACCUACUAUGUGUCAGGCACUGUGAUAAGCACUUUACUAAUAUUAUCUUAUUAAGUGUGAGAUCUGGACCCUCUGCCCCUUAAUCAUGUGCCACCACUUUGGAAAAGAUCAGAAAAGCUGCAAAAAAUUGAGGGGAGCCCAAGAAAAUGGUGUCUCCCCUGAAGUCAAAAGGAGACCCUGAGGGUGGGACCAUGUCAGAAGAUGAAAAAGAAACCAGAGCAAGAGAGCUUACAGUCCCUCAGAAGAAUAGGAAAAGACCGUGGCUACCCUAGCAAAGGUCCCAGCGGCCACAAAAGCCACCGCUCCUGCAACAAAGUGCCUGGGAUAUUUUCUAAGAAGGCCUCCGGCAAGAAAGGGCCACCCCGGCCAAAGCUGAUGUCAUCCUAACAGAAGCGGGAGCCCCCCCCCCCGAGCCACCCACCCAUGAGCAAAGGGGCCCCCAGGAAGUUAAGAAAGAAGAUGGUGACUCUGAAGAAGACAGUGAAGAUGAGAAGAGAGAACCUGGGCCACCCAGAGCUACAAAAGUGGGAGCAGCUCUAGCCAAAUACACUUAGAUGGUGGUAAUGGAGGAGGAAGAAGAAGAAAUGAAGGAGGAGGAGGAGGGUGGGGAAGAAGAAACAAAGGAAGAAGAAAUGGCGGCGGUGGAGGAGGAGGAGGGUGGGGAAGAAGAAACGAAGGAA